RNAcentral lists this long non-coding RNA (2071 nucleotides) under Cyanistes caeruleus (blue tit). RNAcentral describes it as "lncRNA (ENSCCEG00000019459.1)". The record is from RNAcentral. Lineage: Eukaryota; Metazoa; Chordata; Aves; Passeriformes; Paridae.
UAAUUAAGCAGCUAAUUAAGGAGUUGUGUAAGGGGCCUUACCUGGGGGGAUGGGCCCAAUGUAGCUCCGCCUCCCUGGAUUUGCAUAAAGCCUUGAUUGACACCUGGGGGGGGGGAUUGAUGGGAUUUGGGGUGUGACCAGCUCAGGCCACGCCCACCCCGAGGCCACGCCCACUCACCAGCACUUCCGGCUCCGCCCCCGAGGCCAAGAUGGCCGAAAGCUCCACCCAGGACUGGCCUGGCCUGAGGGGAGGGACCCAAAAAUUCCAUCAGGAACCCAAAAAAUUCCAUCAGAGACCCCAAAAUUCCAUCAGAGACCCCAAAAUUCCAUCAGGAUCCCAAAAAAUCCUCUCAAGAUCCCAAAAAAUUCCAUCAGGAUCCCAAAAUUCCUUCAGGAUCCCAAAAUUCCAUCAGGAACCCAAAAAAUCCCAUCAGAGACCCCAAAAAAUCCCCUCAGGAUCCCAAAAUCCCCAAAGGAUCCCAAAAAAUCCCAUCAGGAUCCCAAAAAAUUCCAUCAGAGACCCCAAAAUUCCAUCAGGACCCUAAAAUCCCCUCAGGAUCCCAAAAUUCCUUCAGGAUCCCAAAAUCCCAUCAGGAUCCCAAAAAAUCCCAUCAGAGACCCCAAAAUCCCCUCAGGAUCCCAAAAUCCCCUCAGGAUCCCAAAAAUUCCAUCAGGAUCCCCAAAUUCCAUCAGGAUCCCAAAAAAUUCCAUCAGGAACCCAAAAUUCCAUCAGAGACCCCAAAAAUUCCAUCAGGAUCCCAAAAAAUUCCAUCAGAGACCCCAAAAUUCCAUCAGAGACCCCAAAAAAUUCCAUCAGGAUCCCAAAAAAUUCCAUCAGGAUCCCAAAAAAUCCCAUCAGGAUCCCCAAAAUUCCAUCAGGAUCCCAAAAAAUUCCAUCAGAGACCCCAAAAUUCCAUCAGAGACCCCAAAAAUUCCAUCAAAGACCCCAAAAUUCCAUCAGAAACCCCAAAAUUCCAUCAGAGACCCCAAAAUUCCAUCAGGAUCCCAAAAAAUUCCAUCAGGAUCCCCAAAAUUCCAUCAGGAACCCAAAAAUUCCAUCAGAGACCCCAAAAAAUUCCAUCAGAGACCCCAAAAUUCCAUCAGGAACCCAAAAAAUUCCAUCAGGAUCCCAAAAUUCCAUCAGGAUCCCAAAAUUCCAUCAGAGACCCAAAAAUUCCAUCAGGAUCCCAAAAAAUUCCAUCAGGAUCCGAAAAAAUUCCAUCAGAGACCCCAAAAUUCCAUCACGAUCCCAAAAAAUCUCUUCAGGAUCCCCCAAAAUUCCAUCAGAGACACCAAAAAAUUCCAUCAGGAUCCCAAAAAAUUCCAUCAGAAACCCCAAAAUCCCAUCAAAAUCCCAAAAUCCCCUCAGGAUCCCAAAAAAUCCCAUCAGGAUCCCAAAAAAUCCCCUCAGGACCCCCCAAAAUCCCCUCAGGAUCCCCAAAAAUUCCAUCAGGAUCCCCAAAAUCCCCUCAGGAUCCCCAAAAAUCCCCUCAGGAUCCCCCCCCCAAAAUCCCCUCAGGAUCCCAAAAUCCCCUCAGGAUCCCCAAAAUUUUCACCAGAGACCCCAAAAUCCCCUCCCCACCUUCCAAAUUCCUCCCCAAAAAAUCCCCCAAACCCCAAAAUUCCUCCUCUAGGACCCCCCAGAUCCAUCCCAGGAUCCCAAAAUUCCCAAACUUUCCCCCAAAUUCCCAAAUUCCCCCCAAGCUCCGCCCACUUGCCCAUAUAAGGAAGUCCCAGUUAAGCCCCGCCCCCGUUUACCUUUGCUGGGGGGGCUUUAGCGCCCCCUGCUGGACGCGGCUCAGCCAAUCAGAGCCCGGCUCCGCCCCCAGCAGCCGAAGCUCCGCCCCCCGCCGAAGCUCCGCCCACCGGCGGCUCUGCCCCACCCCCAGCGAGGACUCUGGGGGGGGAGGGGAGGUCACAGACCCCGAAAUUGGGGUGGGGACCCCAAAAUUUGGGGUUUGGGGGCUCAGGGGAUCCCAAAAUUGGGGUUUGGGGGCUCAGGGGAUCCCAAAUUUGGGGUUUGAGGGGCAGAGGGACCCCAAAAAUGGAUGUGGGGACCCCAAAAAUGAGG